RNAcentral lists this ribosomal RNA (665 nucleotides) under uncultured fungus. RNAcentral's name for it is "eukaryotic LSU rRNA". It matches the Rfam family "Eukaryotic large subunit ribosomal RNA", at positions 24 to 664 of the family's 3401-position model. The record is from RNAcentral. Lineage: Eukaryota; Fungi.
CCCGCUGAACUUAAGCAUAUCAAUAAGCGGAGGAAAAGAAACUAACAAGGAUUCCCUUAGUAACUGCGAGUGAAGUGGGAAAAGCUCAAAUUUAGAAUCUGGCAGUCACUUGGCUGUCCGAGUUGUAAUCUAGAGAAGUGCUAUCCGCGCUGGACCGUGUACAAGUCUCCUGGAAUGGAGCGUCAUAGAGGGUGAGAAUCCCGUCUUUGACACGGACUGCCAGGGCUUUUGUGAUGCGCUCUCAAAGAGUCGAGUUGUUUGGGAAUGCAGCUCUAAAUGGGUGGUAAAUUCCAUCUAAAGCUAAAUAUAGGCGAGAGACCGAUAGCGAACAAGUACCGUGAGGGAAAGAUGAAAAGAACUUCGGAAAGAGAGUUAAACAGUACGUGAAAUUGCUGAAAGGGAAACGUUUGAAGUCAGUCGCGUCGGCUGGAGAUCAACCUUGCUCUUGCAGGGCGCACUCUCUGGUUGAUGGGUCAGCAUCAGUUUUGAUCCGUUGGAUAAAGGUCAGGGGAAUGUGGCAUCGAUUCGUUGAUGUGUUAUAGCCCUCGGUCGUAUACAGCGGUUGGGACUGAGGAACUCAGCGCGCCGCAAGGCCGGGUCUUCGGACCACGUUCGCGCUUAGGAUGCUGGCAUAAUGGCUUUAAGCGACCCGUCUUGAAACACGG